GGGAGAGUGGCGGAAGGGUGAGUAACACGUGGGAAUCUACCUCCUCGCAGGGAACAACCACUCGAAAGAGAGGCUAAUACCCAAAAGGGUCAGAAAUGAUCAGAGUCGAAAGGCGUGAGGAGAGGAGCCCGCGGCCCAUCAGCUAGUUGGUGAGGUAAUGGCUUACCAAGGCUACGACGGGUAGGGGAUCUGAGAGGAUGUCCCCCACACUGGAACUGAAACACGGUCCAGACGCCUACGGGUGGCAGCAGUGAGGAAUAUUGGACAAUGGGCGGAAGCCCGAUCCAGCAACGCCGCGUGGAGGAUGAAGGCCUUCGGGUCGUAAACUUCUUUAGAGGGAGACGAGAAAGGACGGUAUCCCUAGAAUAAGCGACGGCAAACUACGUGCCAGCAGCCGCGGUAACACGUAGGUCGCGAGCGUUAUCCGGAUUUACUGGGCGUAAAGCGCUUGUAGGCGGUUCUGUAAGUCGGGCGUGAAAUCUCCGGGCUUAACCCGGAGUGGCCGUUCGAUACUGCAGGGCUUGAGGAUGCUAGAGGGUGGUGGAAUUCCAGGUGUAGUGGUGAAAUGCGUAGAUAUCUGGAGGAACAUCCGUGGCGAAGGCGGCCACCUGGGGCAUUCCUGACGCUGAGAAGCGACAGCUAGGGGAUCAAACGGGAUUAGAAACCCCGGUAGUCCUAGCCGUAAACGAUGGACGCUAGGUGUUGGCAGAUCUAACCCUGUCUGCGCCGAAGCAAACGCGUUAAGCGUCCCGCCUGGGAACUACGGUCGCAAGAUUAAAACUCAAAGGAAUUGACGGGGACCCGCACAAGCAGCGGAGCGUGUGGUUUAAUUCGAUCUACACGAAGAACCUUACCCAGGUUUGACAUACUAGUGGUAGUGAACUGAAAGGGGAACGACCCGCAAGGGAGCUAGUACAGGUGUUGCAUGGCUGUCGUCAGCUCGUGUCGUGAGAUGUUGGUUUAAGUACCCUAACGAGCGCAACCCUUAUUGCCAGUUACACGUAUCUGGCGAGACUGCCGGCCACAAGCCGGAGGAAGGCGAGGAUGACGUCAAGUCAGCAUGGCCUUUAUAUCUGGGGCUACACACACGCUACAAUGGGCGUAACAAUGGGAUGCCAAGCCGUGAGGCGGAGCCAAUCCCCCAAAUACGUCCUCAGUUCAGAUUGCAGGCUGCAACCCGCCUGCAUGAAGUCGGAGUUGCUAGUAAACGCGCGUCAGCUAUAGUGCGUUGGAUACGUUCCCGGGUCUUGUACACACCGCCCGUCACACUAUGGGAGCUGGUAAUACCUGAAGCCGGUAGCCUAACCGCAAGGAAGGCGCC
Molecule: ribosomal RNA, 1321 nt
Filed under: metagenome
Description: bacterial SSU rRNA
Rfam family: Bacterial small subunit ribosomal RNA
Source: RNAcentral